RNAcentral lists this ribosomal RNA (253 nucleotides) under uncultured bacterium. RNAcentral's name for it is "partial 16S ribosomal RNA". It matches the Rfam family "Bacterial small subunit ribosomal RNA", at positions 524 to 776 of the family's 1533-position model. The record is from RNAcentral.
UACGAAGGGGGCUAGCGUUGCUCGGAAUCACUGGGCGUAAAGCGCACGUAGGCGGAUUGUUAAGUCAGGGGUGAAAUCCUGGAGCUCAACUCCAGAACUGCCUUUGAUACUGGCGAUCUCGAGUCCGGGAGAGGUGAGUGGAACUGCGAGUGUAGAGGUGAAAUUCGUAGAUAUUCGCAAGAACACCAGUGGCGAAGGCGACUUACUGGACACAUAUUGACGCUGAGGUGCGAAAGCGUGGGGAGCAAACAGG